GUUGGUGGUUUAGUUAAUAAUUGAUCACAUAAUAAAGCAAGCAGGACUUUGUUGUUCAUAUUCAGAUAAACCUGGACUUGCUAUUGAAAGAGUUUUUCUUCAUCAUUUCAUUUCAGUUGAUUUCUUCUUAUACAGUUUAAGCUUCACUAAUCAAUUUCACCUAAUUUUCAUCUAUUCCAUCCAUGUUUUCUUUCACUUCCAACUCAAAAAGGCACCUCAAACUUAAAUCCACACCUUCUAUUAGAACUCCUACUAAUCCAAAGAGGGCGAGGUACGAUGUGUACUUGAGUUUCUGCGACCAAGACAAAGACCUGCAUUCUUUUGUUUUCAGUAUCUAUAAUGCUCUUAGUAGAAAAGCUGGAGUUGAUGUUUUCUGGGAGAAUGAGAGGGAUGGCUAUGGAGAUCGAGAAAAACCAACCUCUGUGCUCAAUGUUAUAAGAGAUUGCAAAGUUUUUGUAAUUGUAUUUUCAAGAGACUAUUUCAAUUCAAGGUCGUGUCUUCAUGAAUUUAAAAAAAUAACUGAGUGUUGCCGAACCAAAGAUGAUCUUAUGGUUCUACCUGUGUUCUAUGAUGGUGUUGAUCUCUCGUUCGGAAGUUGGGAAAGAGGUAUGUUUGGAGGAGAGACUUUUCAUGAUUGCGUGGAUAAAAUCUUGAUGAAGAAAACCUCUAAAGAGGAAGAUAAGUUCAUGACUUGGGUGGCAUCAAUCAGCAAAGCUACCAUAUAUACGGGACAAAGUGAUCUCGAAGACAGGAACAGUAGUAUAUAUAUUGACGACGUAGUCGAAUGUGUUACUAAUGUGCUACGCCACUGGAAAGACUUCUCCCGUGCUUUCUGUCCAGUGAGCAUAAAAUCUGGUGUGCAAGAUGUGAUUCAACUAUUGAAACAAUCAAACUCUCCUCUUCUAAUAGGGAUAUGGGGGAUGGGAGGGAUUGGUAAAUCAACCAUUGCCCAAGCUAUUUAUGAUCAAGUUGGUCCCUAUUUUGAACACAAGAGUUUGCUAAAAAACGUCAGGACAUUUUGGCAACAAAAUGGAGGUCAAGUUUCUUUACAAAAGAAACUUCUUAUGGCUGUCAACAAAACAACUGAAAAAAAGAUACUUCAUAUUGAAUCAGGGAAAGUGAUUUUAAAAGAAAGACUCCGUCAUAAAAGUGUACUUCUUAUACUUGACGAUGUUAAUAAAUUGGAGCAGCUGAAGUCUUUGUGUGGAAAUCGGGAUUGGUUUGGUCCAGGUAGCAAAAUAAUCAUUAUCACCAGAGAUAGACAUCUACUUAUGGAGCAUGGAGUUGACCAUAUAUAUAAAGUGAAACAAUUGGAAGAAAGUGAAUCGAUUGAGCUUUUUAAUUGGGGUGCAUUCAGCCAAGCAACAACUCCUCAAGGUUUUAGUGAACUUUCUAGGCAAUUAGUUGCUUAUUCUAAGGGAUUGCCUCUUGCUCUUAAAGCCCUUGGGGAGUUUUUGCAUGGAAAGGACGCACUUGAGUGGAAACGUGUGUUGAAGAGUCUUGAAAGAUUUUCCUUUCCCGACCAAGAAGUACUGCAAGCUCUAGAGACGAGUUUUGAUGAUUUGAAGGAUGAAGAAAAACAUAUAUUCCUUGAUAUAGCAUGUUUCUUUAACGGGAUGGACCAAAAUUAUGUACUCCGUACAAUAAAUAGGUCAACACAAUGCACCAGUCUUCAAAUAAGUCUCCUUGAAGACAAGAGCCUUUUAACCAUUGGUGAGAAUAACAAGCUUGAAAUGCAUGGUCUGCUACAAGCGAUGGCAAGGGAUAUCAUUAAGAGAGAAUCAAGUAAUAAGACUGAUCAGCCAAAGAUGUACGAUGUGUUCUUGAGUUUCAGAGGGGAAGACAGUCGUGCAAAGUUCAUUUCACAUCUCUAUUCAUCUCUUCAAAAUGCCGGGAUUUAUGUUUUCAAAGACGACGAUGAAAUUCAACGAGGCGAUCAGAUCUCAAUUUCACUAUUGCGAGCAAUCGGACACUCUAGAAUUUUUAUUGUGGUUUUAUCUACAAACUAUGCUAAUUCAAGAUGGUGUAUGCUAGAGUUGGAGAAGAUAAUGGAAAUUGGCAGAACCGGGGGUCUGGUGGUUGUACCAGUGUUCUAUGAGGUAGAUCCCUCAGAAGUACGUCGUCGGGAAGGUCAGUUUGGAAAAGCUUUUGAAAAACUUAUACCAACAAUCUCAGUGGAUGAAUCCACAAAGAGUAAUUGGAAAAGAGAACUCUUCGAUAUUGGUAGCAUAGCAGGUUUUGUACUCAUAGAUUCCAGGAAUGAGAGUGCAGAUAUCAAGAAUAUUGUUAAACACGUGACCCGUUUGCUAGAUAGGACAGAAUUAUUCGUUGCUGAACAUCCAGUGGGUGUAGAAUCUCGUGUGGAUGCUGUGACUAAGCUACUCAAUAUCCAAAACUCCGAAGAUGUUUUACUUUUAGGAAUAUGGGGAAUGGGGGGUGUGGGUAAAACAACCAUUGCCAAAGCGAUUUAUAAUCAAAUUGGGAGAAAAUUCGAUGGACGGAGCUUUCUUUUGAAUAUAAGAGAAUUUUGCGAGACAGAUGCCAAUCAUGUUUCUCUGCAACAACAAAUACUCUGUGAUGUUUACAAAACAACGGCAUUCAAGAUACGCGAUAUCGAAUCAGGGAAAAAUAUAUUGAAGGAAAGACUUGCCCAGAAUAGGGUACUUCUUGUGCUUGAUGAUGUGAAUGAAUUGGACCAACUAAAGGCUUUGUGUGGAAGCCGUGAAUGGUUUGGUCCGGGGAGUAGAAUUAUCAUCACAACAAGGGAUAUGCAUCUUCUUAGGUCGUCUAGAGUUGACCUAGUGUAUACAAUUGAAGAAAUGGAUGAGAGUGAAUCUCUUGAGCUUUUCAGUUGGCAUGCAUUCAAGCAACCAAGUCCGGCAGAAGGUUUUGCUACACAUUCAACAGAUGUGAUUGCUUAUUCCGGGAGAUUGCCACUAGCACUUGAAGUUCUUGGGUGCUAUUUGUCUGACUGUGAAAUAACAGAGUGGCAGAAAGUUUUGGAGAAACUCAAAUGUAUUCCCCAUGAUGAAGUACAGAAGAAGCUAAAAGUAAGCUUUGAUGGUUUAAAAGAUGUUACAGAGCAACAAAUAUUCCUUGAUAUAGCCUGUUUCUUGAUUGGAAUGGAUAAAAAUGAUGCAAUAAAAAUAUUAAAUGGGUGUGGGUUUUUUGCGGAUAUUGGAAUUAAAGUCCUUGUAGAGCGAAGCCUUGUAACUGUUGACAAUAGGAACAAGCUUAGAAUGCAUGACUUGUUGAGAGAUAUGGGAAGGCAAAUAAUCUAUGAAGAAUCACCAUUUGAUCCUGAGAACCGCAGUAGGUUGUGGCGCCGUGAGGAAGUGUAUGAUGUAUUAUUAAAGCAGAAGGGAACAGAAGCUGUCAAGGGACUGGCUUUGGUGUUUCCAAGAAAAAAUAAAGUUUGUCUGAAUACCAAAGCAUUUAAGAAGAUGAAUAAACUCAGAUUGCUUCAACUUUCCGGGGUUCAGCUUAAUGGAGAUUUUAAAUACCUUUCAGGAGAACUUAGGUGGCUUUACUGGCAUGGAUUUCCAUUAACUUACACUCCUGCAGAAUUUCAACAAGGAAGUCUAAUUGUCAUCCAAUUAAAAUAUAGCAAUCUCAAACAGAUAUGGAAGGAGGGCCAGAUGCUAAAGAAUCUAAAAAUUCUUAAUCUUAGUCAUUCUUUGGAUUUGACUGAAACCCCAGAUUUUUCAUACAUGCCUAAUCUCGAAAAGCUAGUGCUCAAAGACUGUCCAAGUUUGUCUACAGUCUCCCAUAGCAUUGGAUCUCUCCAUAAACUUCUCCUUAUAAAUUUGACAGACUGCAUACGUCUUCGUAAACUUCCAAGAAGCAUCUAUAAAUUAAAAUCUCUAGAAACUUUAAUUCUUUCAGGAUGUUCCAUGAUUGACAAAUUGGAGGAGGACUUGGAACAGAUGGAAUCAUUGACAACCUUGAUUGCGGAUAAGACUGCUAUAACAAAAGUUCCCUUUUCAAUAGUACGAUCUAAAAACAUUGGAUAUAUUUCUUUAUGUGGAUUUGAAGGAUUUUCACGGGAUGUGUUUCCUUCACUUAUUCGCUCUUGGAUGUCACCAUCUUAUAAUGAGAUAUCACUAGUUCAAACAUCUGCAUCCAUGCCAUCUCUUAGUACUUUCAAGGACCUUCUAAAGCUUCGAAGUCUUUGUGUGGAAUGUGGCUCAGAUCUACAGCUAAUUCAAAAUGUAGCAAGAGUUUUGGAAGUAUUAAAAGCCAAAAAUUGUCAGAGAUUGGAAGCAAGUGCAACUACAUCACAGAUCUCUGAUAUGUAUGCUUCUCCUUUAAUUGAUGAUUGCCUAGGUCAAGUUCGCCCUUCAGGGUCAAAUAAUUACUUGAAAUCUGUCUUAAUUCAAAUGGGAACAAAACACCAAGUCCCGAGUCUUGCCAAAGAUCGCAUCUUACAGACUGCAAAUGGGACUUGGGAGUCAUUUUUGCACAAUAGUUCUGAGUGGAAAACCUUUAGUUGCCAAGGAUGUUCCAUUAUAUUUGAUAUCCCAACAAUGAAGGGGCGUAACCUGAAGAGUAUGAUGUUGUCCGUCAUUUAUUACUCUUCACAGGAGAACAUAACAUCAGAAGGUUGCCAAGGUGUGUUGAUCAUUAAUCACACAAAGACAAACAUUCAGGCCUAUAAAAGAGAUACAUUAGCCUCCUUUGAGGAUGAGGACUGGAAGAACUUAACAUCAAGUCUAGAACCUGGUAACACAGUGGAGGUUAUGGCUGUUUUUGCGGAGGGAUUCAAUGUAGAAAAAACAACAGUAUCUCUCUUAUAUGAUGAACCAAUUGACAAAGAAAUGGAACAGUGCAAUGCAGGAGAUGAGGAGGAUAUUACUGUUUCUGGAGAUGUCAAUAAGAAUAUUAAUGUUGGUGAUUAUAUUGAUGUGCCAGUGAAUAACAAUAUUAGUGGUCCUGGUGAAGAUAAGCACUCACAUGCAGUGAAUACAAAUUGUAUUGUUUCUAGUGACGAUGAGUCAACCGACAAAGAAACUGAACACUGCAAUGGACGAGAUGAGGCGGAUGUUACUGUUUCUGAAGAUGUCAAUAAGAAUGUUAAUUUUAUUGAUGAUGUUACAAAUUGUAUUGUUUCUAGUGAUGAUGAGUCAACCGACAAAGAAACCAAACACUGCAAUGGAGGAGCUGAGGAGGAUGUUACUGUUUCUGAUGAUGAGUAUUUCGAUGCGCCGUGGGAUAAUAAUUUGAUUGGUCCUGGUAAAGAUAAACACUCACAUGCAGUGAAUAAAAAUUCUACUGUUUCUAGUGAUGAUGCCCUGACAGCAAAUCAGAAUUAUGCUGUCUCUUUUGGUGGUGAUAUUCCAGCAGAUAAAAAUGUUAUUGUUUCUGGGGAAGAUGAAAAUAGAUUUCAUAGACUAUUCACCAAGCCUCUUUCCCUUGUUCGUGCUGUUUUGAUCUCUCGCCAUUUCUGGUUGGGUUUGGUUGCCAUUCUGGUUUGGAUCACUUGCCGUGGUUCUAAGUAAUGAAGUAGUCUAAACUUCUGUACAAGGUGUCCACUGGUAGUGUUGUGUUCAUGUUUAUGUCGGUGCAAGAAACCCCUCAACUGCACUUAAACAUGAAGUAGGGGGAUUGAUUUUAAACUCUACAGAUGGACAACUUCAACAUGCAGACAACAUGAUGCAGCCGACCAAGUACUUGCCUGUGAGGUUAAGAAACUUCGAGAGGAUGAGGAGGUCCCUAUGCCGCCAGAUAGGAUCUUGGUUCUUUAAGAGAGGGAAUCGAUGGACGGAAAAUGAAAAAAGAUGAACAUAGGCCACGAGUACAUACCGAACAUGGUAGACAAGGGUCUGAUGUUUGAGUUUGUUUAGAGGUGGCAUAGACAGAUGGACAGUUUCCACCUACUUCCUAUGGAGAUGAAGAUCGUGUUGGAUGAGUUUUCAUGCUUACUACAUCUACCAAACACUAGUGCCUUCAUAUCAUAUCUGGUAUCCUGAAACAUGGUGUGGCCUUAUUUAUUCCAGGGGUCAAAACUCGUACAGGAAAUCAUGGAGAUCGAAGCCGCAAGAGGUUGACAUGUUUGCUUUAGUUGGUCCUGUGAUGUCUACCAGGAGUAGGUAGACGAUGAGCAUUUAGGUGCAACAAUAUCAUUUUUACUGCACGUUGCAGGUACUAUCAUUUAUUGUGAUUUGAGUGCGACGUUUGUGAACGUUGAACUCUGUUUGGUGUCCUUACUACUUGUUGUAGGUGUGCAUGGUUGUGGGUGCCUUGCAUACUUAUACAUGCAUCUAGAGGAUCUUAUGUGACCUAUGCAAGAAAGUUCCUUGAGGUUUGGGGAAUCUACUUAGAGUAUUGGCAAUGAGCUUUGUCUUGAUUUCACCAGUCGUUUGGUUUUUUUGUUGUUGUAUGAACAUCCUAUCUUAUAUAGCUUAUAUUUAGGGAAA
Medicago truncatula (barrel medic) is the source of this 6416-nucleotide RNA transcript. It is a transcript of the gene named protein SUPPRESSOR OF npr1-1, CONSTITUTIVE 1, with no coding region annotated. The transcript is spliced from 10 exons. NCBI's taxonomy places the organism in Eukaryota, Viridiplantae, Streptophyta, Magnoliopsida, Fabales, Fabaceae. The record is from RefSeq and is a predicted model, not a curated record.